GUGUUCACUUUGGUAGCAUAUAUACUAAAAUUGGAAUGAUAUAGAGAAGAUUAGCAUGGCCCCUGUGCAAGGAUGACAUGCAAAUUUGUGAAGCAUUUCAUCCCUUU
This is a small nuclear RNA of Otolemur garnettii (small-eared galago), 107 nucleotides long. Lineage: Eukaryota; Metazoa; Chordata; Mammalia; Primates; Galagidae. The record is from Ensembl.